This 337-nucleotide unclassified non-coding RNA is filed under the name soil metagenome. Its description in RNAcentral is "partial contains 5.8S ribosomal RNA, internal transcribed spacer 2, and large subunit ribosomal RNA". The stretch from base 1 to 120 matches the Rfam family "5.8S ribosomal RNA", at positions 35 to 154 of the family's 154-position model. The record is from RNAcentral.
GAUGAAGAACGCAGCGAAAUGCGAUAAGCAAUGUGAAUUGCAGAAUUCAGUGAAUCAUCGAAUCUUUGAACGCACAUUGCGCCCCUUGGUAUUCCGAGGGGCAUGCCUGUUCGAGCGUCAUUACACCACUCAAGCUAUGCUUGGUAUUGGGCGUCGUCCUUAGUUGGGCGCGCCUUAAAGACCUCGGCGAGGCCACUCCGGCUUUAGGCGUAGUAGAAUUUAUUCGAACGUCUGUCAAAGGAGAGGAACUCUGCCGACUGAAACCUUUAUUUUUCUAGGUUGACCUCGGAUCAGGUAGGGAUACCCGCUGAACUUAAGCAUAUCAAUAAGCGGAGGA